This 73-nucleotide transfer RNA is filed under the name Sphaerodactylus townsendi. RNAcentral's name for it is "tRNA-Lys". It matches the Rfam family "tRNA". Rfam says of the family: Transfer RNA (tRNA) molecules are approximately 80 nucleotides in length. Their secondary structure includes four short double-helical elements and three loops (D, anti-codon, and T loops). Lineage: Eukaryota; Metazoa; Chordata; Lepidosauria; Squamata; Sphaerodactylidae. The record is from RNAcentral.
GUCCGGAUUGCUCAGUGGGUAGAGCAUCAGACUUUUAAUCUGUGGGUCCAGGGUUCACGUCCCUGUUUGGGCG